This 127-nucleotide ribosomal RNA is filed under the name Yamadazyma jaroonii. The record is from RNAcentral. Lineage: Eukaryota; Fungi; Ascomycota; Pichiomycetes; Serinales; Debaryomycetaceae.
GGUUGCGGCCAUAUCUAGCAGAAAGCACCGUUUCCCGUCCGAUCAACUGUAGUUAAGCUGCUAAGAGCGAGACCGAGUAGUGUAGUGGGAGACCAUACGCGAAACUCUCGUGCUGCAAUCUUUUUGC